Ruditapes philippinarum (Manila clam) is the source of this 421-nucleotide long non-coding RNA. RefSeq lists it as uncharacterized. The record is from RefSeq and is a predicted model, not a curated record. The transcript is spliced from 3 exons. NCBI's taxonomy places the organism in Eukaryota, Metazoa, Mollusca, Bivalvia, Venerida, Veneridae.
CGGGAACUCUUCUCGUCGCAAAAUUUACUUUCGGUUUUAUUCAGUAUUAAAAUGUGAUGUAUAAAUGUUUAUUCUAAUUGCAUCUAGAAGACAAUUCGAUAUUCUAUUGUUUUACGAUGGGCCCAAUAUACUUUUUAACCAUGCGUAAAAUCCAGAUAUCGUACAACAACUCAACUUCCUAAAUGACCAAGGUUAAACGAUAGGUCCAGAUGGUAAAGGGACACACGGACCUGACGCUGUGCUGUCGAUGGUAGACUGGACAUUGCAAAAUCAAGUUAAUCAGACUCCUGCCUUGUCGAUACACUCGGUUGAAAUAAGAACCGUUACGAUUUUUGUGGCACUUAAAGACUGGACAGAAUGAAAAUGUCGAGUAUCAUAUGAAAGUACCGGGUACUGAUUCAAGAAACCUUCAUUUCUUACU